CGCGUAGGCGGCCAUGCGUGUCUUCCGUGAAAUCCCUCGGCUUAACUGAGGACGUGCGGAAGAAACUGCAAGGCUCGAGUCCGGGAGAGGGGGGUGGGAAUUCCCAGUGUAGCGGUGAAAUGCGUAGAUAUUGGGAGGAACACCGGUGGCGAAGGCGGCCCCCUCGGACCGGUACUGACGCUGAGGCGCGAAAGCGUGGGUAGCAAAACGG
Molecule: ribosomal RNA, 211 nt
Filed under: uncultured bacterium
Lineage: Bacteria
Description: partial 16S ribosomal RNA
Rfam family: Bacterial small subunit ribosomal RNA
Source: RNAcentral